Molecule: microRNA precursor, 109 nt
Organism: Sorghum bicolor (sorghum)
Lineage: Eukaryota; Viridiplantae; Streptophyta; Magnoliopsida; Poales; Poaceae
Rfam family: MIR5565 microRNA precursor family
Source: Rfam
GUUGUUGGAUUCACUUCAAAUUAUGUGUAUUGGUAUGGAUUAGGGUGAAAUUUAGUUCAAGUUCCACUCCAAUCCACCUCAACACAUGUGGAUUGAUAUGAAUCCGACU